RNAcentral lists this ribosomal RNA (269 nucleotides) under uncultured prokaryote. RNAcentral describes it as "partial 16S ribosomal RNA". It matches the Rfam family "Bacterial small subunit ribosomal RNA", at positions 524 to 792 of the family's 1533-position model. The record is from RNAcentral.
GACGAAGGUGGCAAGCGUUGUUCGGUAUCACUGGGCUUAAAGGGUGUGUAGGCUGAAAGGUAAGCGUCCUGUGAAAGCCCCCGGCUCAACCGGGGAACUGCGAGACGUACUGCCUUUCUUGAGGCAAGUAGGGGUGCACGGAACUCUUGGUGGAGCGGUGGAAUGCGUAGAUAUCAAGAGGAACGCCGGUGGAGAAAUCGGUGCACUGGGCUUGUCCUGACGCUGAGACACGAAAGCGUGGGGAGCGAACGGGAUUAGAUACCCGCGUA